GGGGCAGUCCGAUAGAUGAUUGGAGGAGCUCAUGAUUGGAAAAGUCCAGAUGGCACGAUAGGAGUUCGUCUGCUAGAGAAAUCUGUAGGACACUCGUUGGGAAUAGUGUCCCAAAGCCAAUCGUCAGCCUGUUGACGGUUGUGCUUAUUUUUGUAUUUGUACAUGAAUUAUGAAUUAAUAAAAAUUAUUUUGAUAUUUUUUUCAUCAUAAAAUAUUUCAUCUUCUAAUGAACUCCUAUGUUGUGGUCAAGUCCUUAGGACUAUUUAGACUCGACAAAGGAGAAUUUGUCAUUUAGUCCUUAAAUCUGUUUGCGACCAAAUGAUACGUUGUUACCAAGGACGAUAACGUGUUUAUCAAGCAUAGGUCAUUGUGUACCAUAUAGGUUGGUUGUCCUUUUAACCAAUGAGUGUGGAGACACUGGUAUGGCAUACAGGUGAGAUGUAAGGGUACAUUUGCACUGAACGUGAUCGACUCCGGAGCUAUUUCUGCUGUCAAGAUUUGCUCUGAUAGAAUAUGGGUAUAAAUAUCCCUCCGACCUGAGACCGCCACGGUGACUUGCAAGCAACUCACUGCACUUAGGCACUGGACUACCUGAAUUUCUAAUUCAGUGACGGAAGACUGCUGGGUGUAGUCAAGUACUUGACUUGUCGGUGCGUGUGUCAAGAUGGGAUUGACAACUCCAGUUUAGGAGCUGUGUACAGUC
RNAcentral lists this long non-coding RNA (703 nucleotides) under Elaeis guineensis (African oil palm). Its description in RNAcentral is "long non-coding RNA (EGUI_LNC072670)". The record is from RNAcentral. Lineage: Eukaryota; Viridiplantae; Streptophyta; Magnoliopsida; Arecales; Arecaceae.